This 492-nucleotide ribosomal RNA is filed under the name uncultured bacterium. Its description in RNAcentral is "partial 16S ribosomal RNA". It matches the Rfam family "Bacterial small subunit ribosomal RNA", at positions 30 to 507 of the family's 1533-position model. The record is from RNAcentral.
CGAACGCUGGCGGCGUGCUUAGCACAUGCAAGUCGAACGGAAAGGCCUGCUUUCCCUUGUGGAUUGCGGGUACUCGAGUGGCGAACGGGUGAGUAACACGUGAGUGAUCUGCCCCCAACUUGGGUAUAAGCCUGGGAAACUGGGUCUAAUUCCCGAUAGGACUGCAGGGUGGUGCCUGUGGUGGAAAACGAUUUUCUAGUGGUUGGGGAUGAGCUCGCGGCCUAUCAGCUUGUUGGUGGGGUAAUGGCCUACCAAGGCGGCGACGGGUAGCCGGCCUGAGAGGGUGGACGGCCACAUUGGGACUGAGAUACGGCCCAGACUCCUACGGGAGGCAGCAGUGGGGAAUAUUGCACAAUGGGCGGAAGCCUGAUGCAGCGACGCCGCGUGGGGGAUGGCGGCCUUCGGGUUGUAAACUCCUUUCGACCGCGAGGAAGCCACCUGGUUGGAAGGGUGGUGACGGUAGUGGUAGAAGAAGCACCGGCUAACUACGUG